Molecule: ribosomal RNA, 506 nt
Filed under: uncultured bacterium
Lineage: Bacteria
Description: partial 16S ribosomal RNA
Rfam family: Bacterial small subunit ribosomal RNA
Source: RNAcentral
AUUGAACGCUGGCGGCAGGCUUAACACAUGCAAGUCGAACGGUAACAUAAAGAAGCUUGCUUCUUUGAUGACGAGUGGCGGACGGGUGAGUAAUGCUUGGGAAUCUAGCUUAUGGAGGGGGAUAACUACGGGAAACUGUAGCUAAUACCGCGUACUAUCGAAAGAUUAAAGUGUGGGACCUUCGGGCCACAUGCCAUAAGAUGAGCCCAAGUGGGAUUAGGUAGUUGGUGAGGUAAAGGCUAACCAAGCCGACGAUCUCUAGCUGGUCUGAGAGGAUGACCAGCCACACUGGGAAUGAGACACGGCCCAGACUCCUACGGGAGGCAGCAGUGGGGAAUAUUGCGCAAUGGGGGCAACCCUGACGCAGCCAUGCCGCGUGAAUGAAGAAGGCCUUCGGGUUGUAAAGUUCUUUCGGUAGCGAGGAAGGCAUUUAGUUUAAUAGACUAGGUGAUUGACGUUAACUACAGAAGAAGCACCGGCUAACUCCGUGCCAGCAGCCGCAGUAA